Molecule: ribosomal RNA, 301 nt
Filed under: uncultured bacterium
Lineage: Bacteria
Description: partial 16S ribosomal RNA
Rfam family: Bacterial small subunit ribosomal RNA
Source: RNAcentral
CAGUAGCCGCGGUAAUACGAAGGGUGCAAGCGUUACUCGGAAUUACUGGGCGUAAAGCGUGCGUAGGUGGUGGUUUAAGUCCGUUGUGAAAGCCCUGGGCUCAACCUGGGAAUUGCAGUGGAUACUGGGUCACUAGAGUGUGGUAGAGGAUAGUGGAAUUUCCGGUGUAGCAGUGAAAUGCGUAGAGAUCGGAAGGAACAUCUGUGGCGAAGGCGACUAUCUGGGCCAACACUGACACUGAGGCACGAAAGCGUGGGGAGCAAACAGGAUUAGAUACCCCGGUAGUCCCUGUCCUUAUACA